AGCCGCCGCGGGAAUACAGAGGGUGCGAGCGUUAAUCGGAUUUACUGGGCGUAAAGCGUGCGUAGGCGGCUUUUUAAGUCGGAUGUGAAAUCCCUGAGCUUAACUUAGGAAUUGCAUUCGAUACUGGGAAGCUAGAGUAUGGGAGAGGAUGGUAGAAUUACAGGUGUAGCGGUGAAAUGCGUAGAGAUCUGGAGGAAUACCGAUGGCGAAGGCAGCCAUCUGGCCUAAUACUGACGCUGAGGUACGAAAGCAUGGGGAGCAAACAGGAUUAGAUACCCCUGUAGUCCCUGUCUCUUAUACA
This 301-nucleotide ribosomal RNA is filed under the name uncultured bacterium. RNAcentral's name for it is "partial 16S ribosomal RNA". It matches the Rfam family "Bacterial small subunit ribosomal RNA", at positions 510 to 808 of the family's 1533-position model. The record is from RNAcentral.